UAUAUAUACACAUAUAUAUACACACAUUAAAUGAAAUCCCUCUUCUGCAUUGAUUUAUACACAUGCACACCCACGCAUGCAUGACUUGUACUCACAUAUCGGUUUAUGUUAUGUAGAUACACACCUCCAUACGAUGCACACACACACACACACACACAUACUAUCACACAGUAUCACAAUAAACGUUUGUUGAGCGGUGAUUGUGAUAUUAUAUUUAUUGGAAACAUCGACUAGCCCCCUCCCCUACCCCAAAAUUUCAGGCCUUAAGCCUAUAGCAGAAAGACUUAUUAUUAUUAUUAUUAUUAUUAUUAUUAUUAUGAAGUCGCCGAGCUGGCAGAACUGUUAGCACACCAGGCAAAAUGCUUAGUGGAAUUUUGUCCAUCUUCAUCUUCUGAGUUCAAAUUCUGCUGAGGUUGACUUUGCCUUUCAUCCUUUCGGGAUCGAUAAAAUAAGUACCAGUUGAGCACUGGACUCGAUGUAAUUCACUAGUCCCUCUCCCCUGAAAUUUCAGGCCUUGUGCCUAUAGUAGAAAGGGUUGUUGUUAUUAUUAUUAUUAAGGUAGUGAGCUGGCAGAACAGCACUCUGGGCGAAAUGCUUAGUGGCAUUUUGUCCAUUGCUAUGCUCUGAGUUAAAAUUCUGCCUAGGUAGACUUUGCCUUUCAUCCUUUCUGGGUCAAUAAAAUAUGUACCAGUUGAACACUGAACUUGAUGUAAUCGAUGUACCUGCUCCUCAGGAAAUUGCUGGCCUUGUGCCAAAAUUUGAAGCCAAUAUUAUGUAUAGUACUAAUGAUCUUGGAAAUCAGUUGGGUGGCAAAAACAGUAAGACCAUGCUUUUAAGGAUCAUUUCUUAAGUAUGCGUCGCAAUGGCAUCCGAUUCUAUUGAUUGGAUCAACAACAUCACGAUGAUGUGAGAUUGUACUGAGUCCUGAGUGUGAAACAGGUUUUUCUCUAUCCUUCAUUCCUUGCCUCUUAACGAAUGUGAGAAAACCAUUGAGGAUCAUUCUUCAGAGGUUUAAUAACUUCUUAAAGAGGGACUCAAUACUUUCUGAGUGAUCUUUUUUUAGCCCCUUGUGGGCAAUAAAGAAAUAAGAAACAGUGAUACUGCUCCAAAUGCCAUACAACAUUUGGCUUCACCUCUCAUACAUUCCAUGCUCAGGUCCCACUGCAAUGGCAGGGAUCAGGAGAAAAAAUUCCUUACUGUAUGUAAUUCAACCCUGUUCUGAGUAGCAAUUCUUUUACUGUUCACUUUCACCUCACACUAGUCCCAGUGGUGGAAAAGUAGUACACACACACACACACACCACUAUAUAUAUAUAUAUAUAUAUAUAUAUAUAUAUAUAUAUAUAUUUGUGUGUAUGUGUGUGUGUGUGUGAUAAAAAUUGACAGAAGCAUUAAAAUGUUGGGGAAAAUGAAAAAAUGAUUUGCUGUAUUUUAUUCUGAAUUUUUACAUUCUGAGUUUAAAUUCUGCUAGGAUCAACUUUGCUGUUCAUCCCUCUGGGGCCAAUAAAAUAAUGAUUACAUCAAGUAAAUCUUUACCUUAAAAUUGCUGCUUUGUGCCCAAACCAGAAACAAUUAUUAUCAUUAUUAUUAUUAUUAUUAUUAGUAGUAGUAGUAGUAAGUGGUUGAUAACAGAACCAGAAAAACAUUAGACAAAAUGUCUUGUAGUGAUUAGCUAGUUUCCUCUAGCUAAAAUCCUGCGGAAGUUGACUUUGCCUUUCAUUCCCCAAUCUUCACUCCAUAUUCCCUGCAAGUUAAAUCAGUUGCACCCCACCUCACUUUUCCAAAAGUAGCAAUCACUCUUCUUCUGAUUAUUAUUAUUAAAGUAACAACCUGGCACAGCAGCAUUUCUGAGUUCAAAUGCCACUUGAGGUCCACUUUGCCUUUCAGCCCUUUCAGGGUCAAUAAAUUAAGUACCAGUAAAACACUGGGGGUCAAUGAAAUUGACUUACCCACUCCCCAAAAUUUCGGGCCUUGUGCCUACAGUAGAAAGGAUUAUUAUUAUUAUUAUUAUUAGAAAACGAAUGAGACCCCUCCCUCCCAGUUAAAAUGUUCAAACCCAAAUCAUCUGUCACCCAGUCACUUUGUUAGCUGAUAUAAAUAUAAUGCCCUCUUAUGAACUGUGAAAUAAAUAAACUAAUAUGAAAAAUAAAUCGAUGGGAAAUUGUUUAAAAAUGAAAGUUUUAAAUGAAGAGACAACCCAAGUGACAUUUCUUUUAAAUUACAAAAAAAAAAAAAAUAAUAAUAAUAAGGAAUCAAUAAAAUCUAAACAAUU
RNAcentral lists this long non-coding RNA (2271 nucleotides) under Octopus vulgaris (common octopus). The stretch from base 821 to 1053 matches the Rfam family "Small nucleolar RNA U3". Lineage: Eukaryota; Metazoa; Mollusca; Cephalopoda; Octopoda; Octopodidae. The record is from RNAcentral.